Long non-coding RNA from Mesocricetus auratus (golden hamster), 315 nucleotides. RefSeq lists it as uncharacterized. The record is from RefSeq and is a predicted model, not a curated record. NCBI's taxonomy places the organism in Eukaryota, Metazoa, Chordata, Mammalia, Rodentia, Cricetidae. The transcript has 3 exons.
CUUAAGCCCGCUUGGGAUCUAGCUAGUUCCUGUUCAAGAGUAUCUACUGGUGUCCCCGAACAAAGUCCGAAGUCCUUAACCCGGUGUUGGGAUUACAGGCAUGCCUCACCACUGGGGACAUAGUCCAAGGCUUUGUGCAUACUAGGCAAGCAGUCUAACUGAGCUACAGCUCUACCCCCGUCCAGAGAUGCUGAGCAGACUUGAUAUAGACCCCAAUGGAGUAAGAGGCCCUGACCUUUCUCUGGUAAGAUAAGACCAUGUGGAAAUACUUAGAUUUAUAGAAAUGGGUUAAUGAUUAAGAAUAAGAAAUCUUAG